RNAcentral lists this ribosomal RNA (503 nucleotides) under uncultured bacterium. Its description in RNAcentral is "bacterial SSU rRNA". It matches the Rfam family "Bacterial small subunit ribosomal RNA", at positions 15 to 507 of the family's 1533-position model. The record is from RNAcentral.
GAUCAUGGCUCAGAUUGAACGCUGGCGGCAGGCCUAACACAUGCAAGUCGAACGGUAACAGGAAGAAGCUUGCUCUUUGCUGACGAGUGGCAGACGGGUGAGUAAUGUCUGGGAAACUGCCUGAUGGAGGGGGAUAACUACUGGAAACGGUAGCUAAUACCGCAUAACGUCGCAAGACCAAAAAGGGGGGACCUUCGGGCCUCUUGCCAUCGGAUGUGCCCAGAUGGGAUUAGCUAGUAGGUGGGGUAACGGCUCACCUAGGCGACGAUCCCUAGCUGGUCUGAGAGGAUGACCAGCCACACUGGAACUGAGACACGGUCCAGACUCCUACGGGAGGCAGCAGUGGGGAAUAUUGCACAAUGGGCGCAAGCCUGAUGCAGCCAUGCCGCGUGUAUGAAGAAGGCCUUCGGGUUGUAAAGUACUUUCAGCGGGGAGGAAGGGAGUAAAGUUAAUACCUUUGCUCAUUGACGUUACCCGCAGAAGAAGCACCGGCUAACUCCGUG